CAGCCGCCACGGUAAUGCGUAGGGUGCGAGCGUUAAUCGGAAUUACUGGGCGUAAAGCGUGCGCAGGCGGUUGUGUAAGACAGGUGUGAAAUCCCCGGGCUUAACCUGGGAACUGCGCUUGUGACUGCACAGCUAGAGUAUGGCAGAGGGGGGUGGAAUUCCACGUGUAGCAGUGAAAUGCGUAGAGAUGUGAAGGAACACCGAUGGCGAAGGCAGCCCCCUGGGCCAAUACUGACGCUCAUGCACGAAAGCGUGGGGAGCAAACGGGAUUAGAUACCCCCGUAGUCCCUGUCUCUUAUAC
RNAcentral lists this ribosomal RNA (301 nucleotides) under uncultured bacterium. RNAcentral describes it as "partial 16S ribosomal RNA". It matches the Rfam family "Bacterial small subunit ribosomal RNA", at positions 509 to 807 of the family's 1533-position model. The record is from RNAcentral.